CGGCCCAGAUUCCUACGGGAGGCAGCAGUGGGGAAUAUUGCACAAUGGGCGCAAGCCUGAUGCAGCAACGCCGCGUGAGGGACGACGGCCUUCGGGUUGUAAACCUCUUUUAGCAGGGAAGAAGCGAAAGUGACGGUACCUGCAGAAAAAGCGCCGGCUAACUACGUGCCAGCAGCCGCGGUAAUACGUAGGGCGCAAGCGUUAUCCGGAAUUAUUGGGCGUAAAGAGCUCGUAGGCGGUUUGUCGCGUCUGCUGUGAAAUCCCGAGGCUCAACCUCGGGCCUGCAGUGGGUACGGGCAGACUAGAGUGCGGUAGGGGAGAUUGGAAUUCCUGGUGUAGCGGUGGAAUGCGCAGAUAUCAGGAGGAACACCGAUGGCGAAGGCAGAUCUCUGGGCCGUAACUGACGCUGAGGAGCGAAAGGGUGGGGAGCAAACAGGCUUAGAUACCCUGGUAGUCCACCCCGUAAACGUUGGGAACUAGUUGUGGGGUCCAUUCCACGGAUUCCGUGACGCAGCUAACGCAUUAAGUUCCCCGCCUGGGGAGUACGGCCGCAAGGCUAAAACUCAAAGGAAUUGACGGGGACCCGCACAAGCGGCGGAGCAUGCGGAUUAAUUCGAUGCAACGCGAAGAACCUUACCAAGGCUUGACAUAUACGAGAACGGGCCAGAAAUGGUCAACUCUUUGGACACUCGUAAACAGGUGGUGCAUGGUUGUCGUCAGCUCGUGUCGUGAGAUGUUGGGUUAAGUCCCGCAACGAGCGCAACCCUCGUUCUAUGUUGCCAGCACGUAAUGGUGGGAACUCAUGGGAUACUGCCGGGGUCAACUCGGAGGAAGGUGGGGAUGACGUCAAAUCAUCAUGCCCCUUAUGUCUUGGGCUUCACGCAUGCUACAAUGGCCGGUACAAAGGGCUGCAAUACCGCGAGGUGGAGCGAAUCCCAAAAAGCCGGUCCCAGUUCGGAUUGAGGUCUGCAACUCGACCUCAUGAAGUCGGAGUCGCUAGUAAUCGCAGAUCA
RNAcentral lists this ribosomal RNA (1013 nucleotides) under Microbacterium sp. BE485. RNAcentral's name for it is "bacterial SSU rRNA". It matches the Rfam family "Bacterial small subunit ribosomal RNA", at positions 327 to 1351 of the family's 1533-position model. Lineage: Bacteria; Bacillati; Actinomycetota; Actinomycetes; Micrococcales; Microbacteriaceae. The record is from RNAcentral.